GUUCAAUCAGAAAUUAACCCUUCUGUCCUAAUGAAUAGGCUUACUAUUCAGGAGAAAUGGUCAAUGAAGUGGUUGUAUUUCUCAAGCAGAGCUGAUUACAGCUUAUUUUUCUUUAACUUUUUGCCUGUCAUUUCAUUGGUAGACAACAGUAAGUAUCAAGUGUUCAUAUAUUACGCUCCCUGCAAAAAUUUAAUUUUUUUUAAAAUUUGAAUUUCAAGCUCUAUAAAGGGUUACAAAAAAUUGUACAAAGAACUAUCCUUUACCCAGAUUUACCUGUUGCUAGCAUUUUGCUUUAUUUUCUUAUCAUUGUUCUACCCUGUAGAUACAUAUACAUUUUAUUAUUUUUUUCUGAACAUUUUCAAAUAAGUUGCAGGUAUUACAUCUAAAUUUUAACAUGUUUUGUAAUUGUCUCUUUACCUACCUUUUCUACUAAACUUUGAAGUGCGUGGUGAUAAGGACUUUUUAAAAUGCCCUUUUGUCUUCAUAAUGACUAGUGCAGUGUUAGGAACAUGGAGGGCAAUAAAUGUUUGUGGGAUAUGUAUUAAUUAAUAUGUAAAUUCUGAAAUAUUGUCAAAUGCUGGGAAGUAAUGUUUUCUUUUUAAUCUGUCAAGAUUAAAUAGAUCCAUACAGUGGAUCAGUAGUUUUUGAAAGCUGGUCACUGCCUGACUCAGUGGCACACACCUGUAAUCCCAUUGACUUGGAUGCCAAGGCAGGGGGAUUGCAAGUUUAAGGCGAGCCUAGGCAACUGUCUCAAAAUAAAAAAUAAAAAGAACUUGGCAUGGUGACUCAUACCUGUAAUCCCAGCAACUCAGGAGCCUGAGACAGGAGGAUCACAAGUCAGACUCAGCAGCUUAACAAGACCCUAAGCAACUCAUUGAGACCCUGUUUCAAAAUAAAAAAUAAAAAAGGAUGGGGAUGUAGGCUCAGUGGUAAAGCACCCCUGGAUACAAGAAGAAAAGAGAGAGGUAGGGUUGUAGCUCAGUUCAGUGGUAGAGCACUUGCCCAGCACAUGUGAAGCACUGGGUUCCAUCCUCAGCAC
Molecule: long non-coding RNA, 1039 nt
Filed under: Marmota monax (woodchuck)
Lineage: Eukaryota; Metazoa; Chordata; Mammalia; Rodentia; Sciuridae
Source: RNAcentral